Molecule: long non-coding RNA, 1180 nt
Organism: Lycium ferocissimum
Lineage: Eukaryota; Viridiplantae; Streptophyta; Magnoliopsida; Solanales; Solanaceae
Exons: 2
Source: RefSeq, a predicted model, not a curated record
CCUAUGCGGGUUCAAAAUCUUUAAAAUACUAGUCUCUCAAGUGGUCAAAUUGGAGUAAUAGAGUCUGGCAUAAGCCAAAACAUGCAGAUUGGAGCUUAUCCUUUCUCAAGGCAAUAAUAUGAUCAAAUUAUGGGAUUGCUGAACAACAAUACUCCAUCAGACAUAGCUUUUUCUGCAUCUGCAGCAGGAUGUAUACAAUGUCAAGGUGAAGGAGAUUGAUAGAAAGAUGAAAGGGCUCUACAUUCUAAGUCAAACAUACAAGAAUAAAAUAAUUGCACUGAUUGCAGAUGGAUCAUGAGUCAUUAGCUAGAUAGAUGUGCAACUGUGGCAUAGAAGACUAGGACAUAUGUCAACUACAUGUUUACAUAAAGUUUUUCCAUUAAGAAUUGAUGAUAUUGCUGAAAUUGUCAAAGGAUGUACGAUAUGUCCUUGUGCUAAGCAAGCUAGACAGUUUUUCCAACUAGCUUUAUUAAGACUUGUGUUGCAUUUGAGUUGGUUCAUAUGGAUAUAUCGGGUCCCUACAAAACUGCUACUUUUGAUGGUAAUAAGUACUUCUUAAUGGUUGUGGAUGAUUUUACUAGAAUGACUUGGGUGUUUUUACUCAAAUUGAAGUCUGAUGUAUGUGUGGUGUUGCAAUACUUCCUCAACUAUGUGAAACUCAGUUUGACAAAAAUGUGAAAAUAGUUAGAUCAUAUAAUGGUACAGAGUUUGUCAACUCAGUCUGUAGACAACUAUUUCAAUCUUUUGGUAUCAUUCACCAAAUAAGUUGUGCUUACACCCCUUAGCAGAAUGGUGUUGCUGAGAGGAAGCAUCGACACAUUUUAGAAGUAACCAGGGCAAUCAGGUUUCAGGGCAAAAUACCUCUAAAAUAAUGGGGAUUGUGUGUUCAAACUGUUGUUUAUCUUAUAAAUAGAAUGCCAAGUGUGAUACUACAAAAUAUGUCAACUUAUGAAAAGUUGUACCUCAAAAAACCAAACAUUGCACAUUUAAGGGUUAUAUAAUGCCUAUGUUAUGCUAAUAAUUUACAAGAACAUGAUAGACUCAAGUCCAGGUCAAGAAUAGCAAUACAUAUAGGACACUCAUCCACUCAGAAGGGAUACAUUUUAUUUGAUAUGGAGUCAAAAAUACUAUUUGUAGGCAGAGAUGUUCAGUUUAGUAAAGAUACUUUCCCUUCCACAAA